Molecule: ribosomal RNA, 892 nt
Filed under: uncultured archaeon
Lineage: Archaea
Description: 16S ribosomal RNA
Source: RNAcentral
UUUCGGCGUGACUCCAAUUGAACCGCAGGCUUCACCCCUUGUGGUGCUCCCCCGCCAAUUCCUUUAAGUUUCAUACUUGCGUACGUACUUCCCAGGCGGCAAACUUAACGGCUUCCCUGCAGCACUGCAUUGGCCACAAGCCAAUGCAUCACUGAGUUUGUAUAGUUUACAGCUGGGACUACCCGGGUAUCUAAUCCGGUUUGCUCCCCCAGCUUUCAUCCCUCACCGUCGGACGUGUUCUGGUAGACCGCCUUCGCCACAGGUGGUCAUCAAUAGAUCAAAGGAUUUUACCCCUUCCUACCGAGUACCGUCUACCUCUCCCACUCCCUAGCUCUGCAGUAUUCCCGGCAGCCUAUACGUUGAGCGUAUAGAUUUAACCGAAAACUUACAGAGCCGGCUACGGAUGCUUUAGGCCCAAUAAUCAUCCUGACCACUUGAGGUGCUGGUUUUACCGCGGCGGCUGACACCAGAACUUGCCCACCCCUUAUUCAACAGUGUUUCUAGGACUGUCAAAAGGUUCCUUUAGCAGAAACCACUCGGAUUAACCUUGUCGUGCUUUCGCACAUUGCAAAGUUUUCUCGCCUGCUGCGCCCCAUAGGGCCUGGGUCCGUGUCUCAGCACCCAUCUCCGGGCCACUCCUCUCAGAGCCUGUACCUGUAAUAGUCUUGGUGGGCCAUUACCUCACCAACAAACUGAUAGGCCGCAGUCCCAUCCUACGGCGAUAAAUCAUUUGGAACAUAAACCAUUCCAGGCAUAAUGUUCUAUCGGGCAUUAUUCUCAGUUUCCCGAGGUUAUUCCCGUCCAUAGGGUAGGUUGACUACGCGUUACUGAGCCGUCUGCCUUGUAUUGCUACAAUGACUCGCAUGGCUUAGUAUCAAUCCGAUAGCAGUCA